CCGCGGUAAUACAGAGGGUGCAAGCGUUAAUCGGAAUUAUUGUGUUUAAAGGGUGCGUAGGCGGCCCGUGAAGUCAGGGGUGAAAGACGGUGGCUCAACCAUCGCAGUGCCCUUGAUACUGUCGGGCUUGAAUGUACAUGAGGUAGGCGGAAUGUGGCAAGUAGCGGUGAAAUGCAUAGAUAUGCCACAGAACACCGAUUGCGAAGGCAGCUUACCAAGGUAUGAUUGACGCUGAGGCACGAAAGCGUGGGGAUCAAACAGG
This 262-nucleotide ribosomal RNA is filed under the name uncultured bacterium. RNAcentral describes it as "partial 16S ribosomal RNA". It matches the Rfam family "Bacterial small subunit ribosomal RNA", at positions 515 to 776 of the family's 1533-position model. The record is from RNAcentral.